UACGGAGGAUGCGAGCGUUAUCCGGAUUUAUUGGGUUUAAAGGGUGCGUAGGCGGCCUGCCAAGUCAGCGGUAAAAUUGCGGGGCUCAACCCCGUACAGCCGUUGAAACUGCCGGGCUCGAGUGGGCGAGAAGUAUGCGGAAUGCGUGGUGUAGCGGUGAAAUGCAUAGAUAUCACGCAGAACCCCGAUUGCGAAGGCAGCAUACCGGCGCCCGACUGACGCUGGGGCACGAAAGUGCGGGGAUCAAACAGG
This 252-nucleotide ribosomal RNA is filed under the name uncultured bacterium. Its description in RNAcentral is "partial 16S ribosomal RNA". It matches the Rfam family "Bacterial small subunit ribosomal RNA", at positions 524 to 776 of the family's 1533-position model. The record is from RNAcentral.